UACAUAGGGGGCAAGCGUUGUUCGGAAUUACUGGGCGUAAAGGGCGCGUAGGCGGCCUCUUAAGUCGAACGUGAAAUCCCCGGGCUCAACCCGGGAACUGCGUCCGAUACUGGGGGGCUUGAAUCCGGGAGAGGGAUGUGGAAUUCCAGGUGUAGCGGUGAAAUGCGUAGAUAUCUGGAGGAACACCGGUGGCGAAGGCGGCAUCCUGGACCGGUAUUGACGCUGAGGCGCGAAAGCCAGGGGAGCAAACGGG
This 253-nucleotide ribosomal RNA is filed under the name uncultured bacterium. RNAcentral's name for it is "partial 16S ribosomal RNA". It matches the Rfam family "Bacterial small subunit ribosomal RNA", at positions 524 to 776 of the family's 1533-position model. The record is from RNAcentral.